GAAGAACAGGAAAAGAUCAAGUUUAAAGAAUGUCAUGUAUCUCAGAAGCUAGAUCACUUCUCAAUGAACAAGUUAAAACUGCCCCAACAAAAAUGGAUGGAAUUAUCAGCUUCGUUAUCGACUAGGUAUCAGUGA
This 135-nucleotide ribosomal RNA is filed under the name Triticum aestivum (bread wheat). RNAcentral's name for it is "partial small subunit ribosomal RNA". The record is from RNAcentral. Lineage: Eukaryota; Viridiplantae; Streptophyta; Magnoliopsida; Poales; Poaceae.